UACGUAGGGUGCGAGCGUUAAUCGGAAUUACUGGGCGUAAAGCGUGCGCAGGCGGUUGUGUAAGACAGGUGUGAAAUCCCCGGGCUUAACCUGGGAACUGCGUUUGGAACUACAAGACUAGAGUGUGUCAGAGGGGGGUGGAAUUCCGCGUGUAGCAGUGAAAUGCGUAGAUAUGCGGAGGAACACCGGUGGCGAAGGCAAUCCCUGGGCCUGCACUGACGCUCAUGCACGAAAGCGUGGGGAGCAAACAGGAUUAGAAACCCUGGUAGU
This 270-nucleotide ribosomal RNA is filed under the name uncultured bacterium. Its description in RNAcentral is "partial 16S ribosomal RNA". It matches the Rfam family "Bacterial small subunit ribosomal RNA", at positions 524 to 794 of the family's 1533-position model. The record is from RNAcentral.